This 270-nucleotide long non-coding RNA is filed under the name Elaeis guineensis (African oil palm). RNAcentral describes it as "long non-coding RNA (EGUI_LNC081695)". Lineage: Eukaryota; Viridiplantae; Streptophyta; Magnoliopsida; Arecales; Arecaceae. The record is from RNAcentral.
CGUCGGGUAUCAUUGCUAGAUGAUCAUUUUGAUUGGUACAAAAAUUUAUUUUUAUGCUACUAACUUAGGUUUGGACCUAUGAGGUCACACACAUUAGAGUUCAUGAUCCAAUCGGAUGGUUGAUCAAUGAUUAAGAAUCGUUCUAGGAUUAAACGAUCAAUACGAUUGACACUUAAAUAAGUGCAAAUAUUGUAGGAGGAUCGAUUAGCAAUUCGAUUACUAAUUGGCUUAAUUUGAUUAAGUCAAUGGAUUGAGAUUAAUUUUAAUUAA